CCUACGGGGGGCUGCAGUGAGGAAUUUUCCGCAAUGGGCGAAAGCCUGACGGAGCAAUACCGCGUGAAGGAUUAAGGCCUAUGGGUUGUAAACUUCUUUUCUCAGAGAAGAAUUUUGACGGUAUCUGAGGAAUAAGCAUCGGCUAACUCUGUGCCAGCAGCCGCGGUAAGACAGAGGAUGCAAGCGUUAUCCGGAUUAAUUGGGCGUAAAGCGUCUGUAGGUGGUUUAUCAAGUUUUUUGUCAAAGAUCGGGGCUUAACUCCGGGCAGGCAGAGAAAACUAGUAGACUUGAGUUCGGUAGGGGCAGAGGGAAUUCCCGGUGGAGCGGUGAAAUGCGUAGAGAUCGGGAGGAACACCAAAGGCGAAGGCACUCUGCUGGGCCGCAACUGACACUGAGAGACGAAAGCGAGGGUAGCAAAUGGGAUUAGAUAC
This 431-nucleotide ribosomal RNA is filed under the name uncultured bacterium. Its description in RNAcentral is "bacterial SSU rRNA". It matches the Rfam family "Bacterial small subunit ribosomal RNA", at positions 338 to 785 of the family's 1533-position model. The record is from RNAcentral.